AGAGUUUGAUCCUGGCUCAGAACGAACGCUGGCGGCAGGCCUAACACAUGCAAGUCGAACGCCCCGCAAGGGGAGUGGCAGACGGGUGAGUAACGCGUGGGAACCUACCUUACGGUCGGGAAUAGCUCAGGGAAACUUGGGGUAAUACCGGAUACGCCCUUACGGGGAAAGAUUUAUCGCCGUUAGAUGGGCCCGCGUAGGAUUAGCUAGUUGGUGAGGUAACGGCUCACCAAGGCGACGAUCCUUAGCUGGUCUGAGAGGAUGAUCAGCCACACUGGGACUGAGACACGGCCCAGACUCCUACGGGAGGCAGCAGUGGGGAAUAUUGGACAAUGGGCGCAAGCCUGAUCCAGCCAUGCCGCGUGAGUGACGAAGGCCUUAGGGUUGUAAAGCUCUUUUGGCGGGGAAGAUAAUGACGGUACCCGCAGAAUAAGCUCCGGCUAACUUCGUG
RNAcentral lists this ribosomal RNA (451 nucleotides) under uncultured Pedomicrobium sp. Its description in RNAcentral is "bacterial SSU rRNA". It matches the Rfam family "Bacterial small subunit ribosomal RNA", at positions 8 to 507 of the family's 1533-position model. The record is from RNAcentral. Lineage: Bacteria; Pseudomonadati; Pseudomonadota; Alphaproteobacteria; Hyphomicrobiales; Hyphomicrobiaceae.